GGCGAGAUGGCCGAGCGGUCUAAGGCGCCAGAUUAAGGCCCAACCAAAGUGAGGAUUUGAACUCACGUUCUGGUCCGAUAAGGGCGUGGGUUCGAAUCCCACUCUCGUCA
Tulasnella sp. 419 is the source of this 110-nucleotide non-coding RNA. The record is from the annotation of a GenBank genome assembly. NCBI's taxonomy places the organism in Eukaryota, Fungi, Basidiomycota, Agaricomycetes, Cantharellales, Tulasnellaceae.